UUUUUUUUAUUAUUAUUAUUUCAUGCGCUCUCAAAGUCGCUUCAUAGUGUCUGAGUGUGAACGGCAGCUCUAAAUGCUCUUGACUUCUCCUGUAUCUGUCGGUAGGUAGAGCUCUCUCGCUCUCUCUCUCUCUCUCUCUCUCUCUCUCUCUCUCAGUUUGUCUGUAACUUGCUCCUUCCCUUUAACACCAUAGGCAAAUUCCUCAAAAUCCCGGCGGUGUGGCGUUUUCACACGCGAUUUGUACUCAUCAGUCUUGCCGGCUAAGACAGGCUAGGAAGAAAAUGACAAGGAUUUGGGGCAGGGGGCUGAAGAGGAGACGUGGAGGGAGAGCAGCCUUCAGCCAGGGAAGGGGGGAGCCAGAAAACCCCCACAUCUAAUGAAUGAAGCAGGGUUAUGAAAGCCUCCAUUGAAAAUCCACAGCUGGAAAGAACAGGCAAGGAUCAUGGCAAGGACAGAGAGUAAACAUUUUCUUACACAAAGCUACUUGGAGGAGACAGAAAAAGUGAGACAGAAACCCUUCUAGCUAACCAUGCUGGGAAUGGAUUGAAUCAUCUGGAGAAUGAGGAUCCCAAGCUAUUCCACGAUGUGGCUGGAAAAGAAAAGAUGUCAAAUAUGGGGAUGAUUUGAAUUGUAUCUCCUAGAAAUUGAAUUUUCUCCCCCCCCCCCAACCGAAUACGCAUUUGUGUCAUAAUCAAAGAGGCACUGGGUAGUUGAGUCAUAUUUGUUUAAUUGCGUGAGAGCUUAACAAUAAAUGUUUCCCUUCAAGGUCUGUUUUUGGGGGUUUAUUUAAAGAACCACACACACACAUCAGAUCAGUGAUAUGCAAUCCUCUGGGCUUUAAAAAAAAAUCGUGACAUUUACGGUGCUGCUCUUUGUCUCUUCUGCGUUGUGUUUUGUGCCUCCGUGGGAGUUUGUGGAGCUCCGCGUUUCCCAUGUUAGUUUGUGUAUGCCUGCUUUGCAAUGUAGCUUUAUAAAUACAACUGUAUUGUACUUUAAGAGACUUCAUUGUACGGAUUUCGGGUUUAUUCCCCACCUCCCUCCCCCUUUUUCUCUUCUGCUUUGCAACCCAAAAUGUGAUCGCCUCCGCUAUUCUUUCCCUUCGCCAAGAGCCUCUGCAACAUGUGUAACGUGUGUUAGCGCUAAUAAAGAACAAGACUUCAAACAAAGCAGCUUUCUCCUCAGCAUUUUAUGUAUUUGCUAGUGGAUGCUGGACGGAAGGUGUCUCAUCAGCUAUAAUUAAUUUACGAUGGUCUGAGCUUUUCCUUUUCAACCAGCUAUCUCUUGCAGAGAUGAUCCUUUUAUUUUAGAAUCGCACAGACCCCGGGUCCUUGACAGUUGCUUAAUGCGUUUGCUUCUCCAGCACACAUUAGAUGUUAAUUUACAAGUCAUAGGUGAGGGAAUGGAUACAUAUUUGUUUUGAUUUGGGGUUUUUUUCCUCCUGAAACCUUUCAGAGGCCUGUGGAUGCAACGGCACGCUUUGUACCUCCCCGGGCCCGACUACUUCUAAUAUUGAACAACAGCGCCAUCGUGCGUUGGCUUCCUCCAAGACACCUUGUAUUCGGAACACAAAAAAAGUCCCUUCUGUCAUUAAAAAGAGAGAGAAAAGGGAAGGGGCGGGGGGAGUCUCCUCCGCAAACACAUCCAAUUCGGGCUAAAAAGAAAGCCAAAGAAAACCCCAAACGGGUUGCCUAAACUCCAGGAUGCGUGGGGAUAAUCAGGAGGCAUUUUAUAACCAACAAUUACAUGCAUUGUUGAUUUACCAGGAGCUUUGCAAUGACCCCUCACCAAACAGUGCGCCUGUGGUUGUUGUUAUAUCAACGCUGCAGUGGGUGUAGCGGAUUGGGAUCCCCUCCCCACCCCCUUCUUCUUUUCUGCUUAAGGAUCCCAUAAAAACUAAGGCCCGAUGUGUACACACACAAACACCCUCCUCCAAACUGCAGUGCUUUUAUCAGUUUUUAACUGAAGGGUGGGGGGAGUUUCCCUCCCCCCUGCUUCCCUUUCCCCCUCUCCUCUCGUCCAAGGGGGGUCUGUUGUUUGUAGCUUGUAGACAAAACAUUCCAAUAAUCUGGUUUCAAAGAAGAGAGCACCCACCUUAUUUAAACCAUAAAACAAUUAAAGCCAGACGUCUAGCCAGAUCUGAAGUCCUGUUUUGUUCGCUCCUAUUCAGCGCGCAUAGCAGUGAGACAAACAGAGUUGUAAAACUAGCAUUUUUGCCCCCCUCUUCCUCUGCUGCGGAAGUGCACCUAUGGACCGCUUUCAAAGCUGCGGUAUGCUGGCUUUGUGUGUGUGUGUGUGUGCGUGUGUAUGUGUGUGUGUGUGUGUGCGCGCCUUACAAACAGAUCGUCCUUUAAAACAACCACACAAAAAAAUACUACAGCAGGAAAAUAAUGACAUGCACCCGCACAUAUCCCUUCGCCAGCCCCUUGCACCGGAGCCUUUUCGAUCCCAUUCAAGGACUCAAGCCCACCUUCUGCUUUGUGUGCUCAUGUCUUCUUCUUUUUCUUUUUUAAUUCGGGUUAUUUUUAGCCCCGUUGCCUGUCUCCUCAACCUCCCAAGGCAGCACAUUCCAGUCCUAUGGUCAACGCCCCCCCCCGCCCCGCUUCCCCCUUUGCAGGACCAAAUGCCACUUCUAGAUAUGGGGGGGUGCUACAGAAGCCUUGCCCGUGAACUGGGACUGCAGCAGGGAUUUAAAAGCAACCAAGGCAGCAGGAACAAAAGACAGCCCCACCGCACUUAGCUGGAGACAAAAGGGGUCGGAUUCUUCCCUGCCUCUUGGGCUGCCUGUGUGGGUUGCCUGUGUGAAGGCUACGAGAUGGGCAGGGCGAGGGAAGUUUCUUGCGGUCGCCUGGGGGAUGAGAGUGCUUUGAAUUGAAGGGGACAAAAUUUGGGGGGGGGGGGCAUACAUCAUUGCUUUCCACCCUUAGCCCCAGCGUCUCAUUACAUAGGCAUCUCCAGAGAGGUGGGUCCGAGGCUGCUCGCAAAGUCCCUUGCUAAAGGGGAGAACUCCCCCAAAGCAAAGGAUCCUUUCCCCACCAUCACCCAUGACUGCAAAUACCGUGUUCAGACCCUCCCGGCUUCUUUCAAUCGAGGUUCCUGAGUGAAGGGGGCAGGAGGAAGGGAAAUAAAGACAUGAAUGGAGUGGGCUAGUUGUUUUUUCAGUCAAAUCAGCUCUUUUAGCCCCUCGGUCUACUACAAUAUUGUUACCCUGAACAUUUCCCUGGGCUCCUUAAGAUCCUUGCAAACGUGGGGCUUCUGGCUUUGCAAGGAUGCUGAGGAUGCUGAGAUGAAUGUAUCUCGCCCCUUUUGCACGCGCGCACACACACACGCACACACACACACAAGCCCUGGCGCAGACAAAUCCAUAAGCCAAAGCCCCCUCCACAUGCCAAGGGAAGAAAUAUGAAAGAGCGAUAUUUUUCUGAGCUCCCCGGGUAAUCGCUUCCAGAUUUUUGUAUUUUGGGAGCGCCUGGUUUGGAGGCGACAAACAUCUCCCCCCAGCCUGCUCUGGCUUUGAUUAGGAAGAUUAAAACAGCGCCCUGCUCGUUUCAUUAAAGAAAAGGGACCCGCAACAAGUUUUUAUGAUGAAACAUCCCCGGCUGCUCGUUUUUUAUCCAGCCCCUUCCAGCUCUCGGGGAUAUCAGCCAUUGAGUGUCUUUGGGCAGCGCCUUCUCCUGCUUUUGAGCCAGGGAAAUCGCCACGAGCCACCAUCCAGCCUGAACGCCCCCCUCCCCUAGCCCCUUCUCUACGCCUCUGCUUGCCUUUGCAAACAACCGCUGCUGGGGACAGGGGGGUGGAAAACAAGGGAGACUUUUAACCCCCAAAUUCACCACCUCGUGCACAUCCCCUUCCCCUCUCCUCAUUCUUCUCAUAACCUAUUAUUUUUUACAGUCCUCUCCCAUCCACUGCAUUGUCCUUUGCCAGGCAAGAAGGAGCCUGUGUGUUGCAGGAGCUCCAGAAACCCCUCUCUAAGUCCCCGCACUUCAGUGCUAACACGCAGCAGUUGCAAUACAGGCGGUUGUCAAACAGAGCAAUGUUGCACACUUCCCCGGCAUACAUAUUUAAUCUUUUACAUAUACUUCGAUUGCCUGGGGUCAUAAAUUAGCACAAUUAAUUAUCCCAAACUAAAAAUUUAUGGCACGGAUAACCCUUACCUAAACGCAUUUUAUGAUGAUACUAUUAAAUAUAAAAUGUUGUGAGCGGAAGCCAGUCUCUUUUUUUUCCCCCUUCCCCCCCUCGCCUCCAUCCCUUCUUCAUUCGCUUUCUGCAAGACGGUGGGUUUGCACAUAUGCACACACAGCACACACACACACACACACACAUACACCCUCCAUUUCAACAGGCUGCGAUUUCUUAUCAGGGCUAAAAUUCCCUGGCGCGAUUUUGCAAGGGCUUUUAAACAGGAGGAGGAACCACACAUUCCCCCGUGCACGUUGGUAGUUGCUAUGUUUAAAUAAAGGACACCUACAGGAUAAGGAUUUUUUUUUUUUUUUAGCAUUUCUUUUCUCUCUCUUUUUUUUUUUUUUUUUGUGAUGUUAGGUAUAUAUUUACAUAAAGCUGCUCAACUAUAGCAAAACGGAACAAUAUUACAGAACGGUGAGACAGGAAGAAAAUACACAAAUAAGUACACCAAAAAACGUCCAAACACUAUGACAGAACAUUAUGGAGUGAUCUCCCCCCACCCGCCCCACCCCAACCCCUUUCUUUUCUUUAUUUUUCUUCUUUUCUCUCUAUU
Alligator sinensis (Chinese alligator) is the source of this 4732-nucleotide long non-coding RNA. RefSeq lists it as uncharacterized. The record is from RefSeq and is a predicted model, not a curated record. NCBI's taxonomy places the organism in Eukaryota, Metazoa, Chordata, Crocodylia, Alligatoridae. The transcript has 3 exons.